This 457-nucleotide ribosomal RNA is filed under the name uncultured bacterium. Its description in RNAcentral is "bacterial SSU rRNA". It matches the Rfam family "Bacterial small subunit ribosomal RNA", at positions 340 to 786 of the family's 1533-position model. The record is from RNAcentral.
UACGGAAGGCAGCAGUGGGGAAUAUUGCACAAUGGGCGAAAGCCUGAUGCAGCUAUGCCGCGUGUAUGAAGAAGGCCUUAGGGUUGUAAAGUACUUUCAUCGGGGAGGAAAAACAAAACUAAUAAUUUUAUUUCUUGACGUUACCCGAAAAAGAAGCACCGGCUAACUCCGUGCCAGCAGCCGCGGUAAUACGGAGGGUGCUAGCGUUAAUCAGAAUUACUGGGCGUAAAGAGCACGUAGGUGGUUUUUUUAAGUCAGAUGUGAAAUCCCCUGGGGCUUAACCUGGAACUGCAUUUUUGAAACUGAAAUACUAGAGUAUCGUAGAGGGAGGUAGAAUUCUAGGUGUAGCGGUGAAAUGCGUAGAUAUCUGGAGGAAUACCUGUGGCGAAAGCGGCCUCCUAAACGAAUACUGACACUGAGGUGCGAAAGCGUGGGGAGCAAACAGGGAUUAGAUACC